UACGUAGGGUGCGAGCGUUGUCCGGAAUUAUUGGGCGUAAAGGGCUCGUAGGCGGUCCAUCGCGUCGGGAGUGAAAAGCUGGGGCUUAACCCCAGUCCUGCUUUCGAUACGGGUGGACUAGAGGUAGGCAGGGGAGAAUGGAAUUCCUGGUGUAGCGGUGAAAUGCGCAGAUAUCAGGAGGAACACCUAUGGCGAAAGCAGGUCUCUGGGCCGUCACUGACGCUGAGCUGCGAAAGCUAGGGGAGCAAACAGG
This 253-nucleotide ribosomal RNA is filed under the name uncultured bacterium. RNAcentral describes it as "partial 16S ribosomal RNA". It matches the Rfam family "Bacterial small subunit ribosomal RNA", at positions 524 to 776 of the family's 1533-position model. The record is from RNAcentral.